RNAcentral lists this ribosomal RNA (271 nucleotides) under uncultured bacterium. RNAcentral's name for it is "partial 16S ribosomal RNA". It matches the Rfam family "Bacterial small subunit ribosomal RNA", at positions 29 to 289 of the family's 1533-position model. The record is from RNAcentral.
AUGAACGCUGGCGGCGUGCCUAAUACAUGCAAGUCGAGCGAACAGACGAGGAGCUUGCUCCUCUGACGUUAGCGGCGGACGGGUGAGUAACACGUGGAUAACCUACCUAUAAGACUGGGAUAACUUCGGGAAACCGGAGCUAAUACCGGAUAAUAUACUGAACCGCAUGGUUCAAUAGUGAAAGACGGUUUUGCUGUCACUUAUAGAUGGAUCCGCGCCGCAUUAGCUAGUUGGUAAGGUAACGGCUUACCAAGGCAACGAUGCGUAGCCG